This 252-nucleotide ribosomal RNA is filed under the name uncultured bacterium. RNAcentral describes it as "partial 16S ribosomal RNA". It matches the Rfam family "Bacterial small subunit ribosomal RNA", at positions 524 to 776 of the family's 1533-position model. The record is from RNAcentral.
UACAGAGGGUGCGAGCGUUGUCCGGAAUCACUGGGCGUAAAGGGCGCGUAGGCGGCCUGAUAAGUCGGGGUGAAAUCCUGUGGCUUAACCACAGGGCUGCCUCCGAGACUGUCGGGCUCGAGCACAGUAGAGGCAGGUGGAAUUCCCGGUGUAGCGGUGGAAUGCGUAGAGAUCGGGAAGAACAUCGGUGGCGAAGGCGGCCUGCUGGGCUGUUGCUGACGCUGAGGCGCGACAGCGUGGGGAGCAAACCGG